GACGUUGGGGUAGGCAACUAGCUGCUCUGCCACACGGAGUGUGCCCCUGGCUCAUUCCAAUAACAGCUAGGUAUUAUCAUUAUUAAUAUUAGCUCUGCAGACCUCGGCAAAGACAAGAAAACUGCCUUCUGUUGGUGUACCAUUUAUUCAGUAAACAUGCAUGGCAUCUAUAUGUCAGCUCUCUUCUAGGGCUGGGAAUAUAGAAGAGAUGUGGGAAGAGGCAGUAUCUUGUGAUGAAGAGAGUGGGGUCUGAAAUACAGAGCCUGGGUUAGAGCCCCAUGUUGGCCACUUUCUGUGUGAUCCUGAGAAAUGGAUGUAACUUCUGUGGGCUUUGUUGUCUUUGUCUCUAAGAUGAGGAAGAUGAUAAGAAUGCCAUCACAGGAUUAUUCUCAGGGUGAAAUGCAUUAGUACAAAUAAAGGGCUUUGAAUACUUCGAGGGAGAAGGCUCUGAUUCUUUCAAUGGACCCACGCAGCUGCUCCAUGGGUCCGUGGAGCAGCUUGCUUUGCUUUUACAAAGCUUUACUUUGCUUUCACCCUGCCCGCCUUAAGUAUUCACUGAGCACGUACUUUGCUAGGUACUGGGGAUUCACAGAUGAAAUACAUGUAGAUCUGUAUCCCCUAAUCACACAAAUGUUUCCUGAGCCUCUGCUAUGUGCAAAACUCCAUGCACCAGAUGACAAUACUGAAAGAGACUUGGCAGAGCUGUGGAGGCAGGUGUGGGAUAUAUUAAGGACAUACCUUGAGAACUUUUGUUCCAGGCAAGAGGGAUCUAAGGGGCUAAGAGAGGUGGGUCUGGUCCCAGCUGUGUUGGUGAGAGGUAGCGUGUGGACAUCUGUGUUGCAUAAUUCUGGACAGGCAGCAAAGCCUGACCUGUGGAUGGGGCCUGGGAGAGGAGGACACCCAAUUCCAGCACAGAAAAGUAGUACUGUAUUUUCCUGGGUCAUCAAAUGAGCAGUAAUCUGGGAACAAAAGAUGAUUAGCCAUGGAUGCCUGCCGAGCUGAGCCAGUUGCUUGCACCCCGGAACCCAGCCAGUGCUCUGCUCUCAGGGUCCCAAACUCGCUUCCCUGGACUGUCCUUUGAGACUCUCACACCCACUCUCCAGCCAGCUUUGGAGAACAGUUAAAAUAGCAAGUUCUGCCCAUCUGUGUCAGUUCCAAGCACUCCUUCAAUAUAUGUUCUAUGGUAAGCAACAGAAUUCCACUAGGCAUGGUUUACAGCCCUCACUAGGAGGACGCUGGAAGGACAUUGCAGGAGGAAAAGGCUCCCUACAAUAUCCUGCAUGGGGGAGGGGGGAGGCGUCUGCAGUGGAUUCCUACCCUAGCCAUAGGCCCAGAACACAAUUUCUGUGCGACUCUGCAGCCUCAGUCUAGUGGUAACUUUUCUACAGCCUCGUAAAACCAAAGCCCUCAUGUGGCCUGCACACAGUUGACUGUGGCUGGGGUCUCGCAUCCCCAGCAGCAGAGCAAGCUCAUGUUCAGCCCUGAUACCCUAAAGGAAUGUAACAACCAAAGGAAGUGCCUGAUCCUUGAUGGAAUCCCGUACUGAAAAGAAUAAAAGUAAAACUGCUAUAAAGGACAUUAUCGAGACAUUUGGGGAACUAGAAUAUGAGCUGUAUGAGGACAGCCUUGUAACAAUGUUAAACAUUUUGGUUAUUCUGGUAUUUAGUUAGUAUUUUUGUUGUGUGGGAGAAUGCCGCUUGUUGUAGUAUUCUGCUUGAUACACGGAUGCAUGCCCAAGUUUUUAGGGGUGGAGGCGGAGCUUGCAGUGAGCCGAGAUCCUGCCACUGCACUCCAGCCUGGGCGACAGAGCGAGACUCUGACUCAAAAAAAAAAAAAAAAAAAAAGAGAGAGAA
Molecule: long non-coding RNA, 1853 nt
Filed under: Homo sapiens (human)
Lineage: Eukaryota; Metazoa; Chordata; Mammalia; Primates; Hominidae
Description: non-protein coding lnc-STK35-2:7
Source: RNAcentral